This 55-nucleotide transfer RNA is filed under the name Thunnus tonggol (longtail tuna). RNAcentral's name for it is "partial tRNA-Pro". Lineage: Eukaryota; Metazoa; Chordata; Actinopteri; Scombriformes; Scombridae. The record is from RNAcentral.
CAAAGAAUAGUUUAAUUUAGAAUCCUAGCUUUGGGAGUUAGGGGUAGGAGUUAAA